Molecule: ribosomal RNA, 252 nt
Filed under: uncultured bacterium
Lineage: Bacteria
Description: partial 16S ribosomal RNA
Rfam family: Bacterial small subunit ribosomal RNA
Source: RNAcentral
UACGUAGGGACCGAGCGUUGUCCGGAUUCAUUGGGCGUAAAGAGCGUGUAGGCGGUCAGGUAGGUCCGUUGUGAAAACUCGAGGCUCAACCUCGAGACGCCGAUGGAAACCAUCUGACUAGAGUCCGGAAGAGGAGAGUGGAAUUCCUGGUGUAGCGGUGAAAUGCGCAGAUAUCAGGAAGAACACCCGUGGCUAAGGCGGCUCUCUAGUACGGUACUGACGCUGAGACGCGAAAGCGUGGGAGCGAACAGG